Tetracentron sinense is the source of this 71-nucleotide non-coding RNA. NCBI's taxonomy places the organism in Eukaryota, Viridiplantae, Streptophyta, Magnoliopsida, Trochodendrales, Trochodendraceae. The record is from the annotation of a GenBank genome assembly.
GGCGGCAUGGCUGAGUGGUAAGGUGGAGGACUGUAAAUCCUUUUUCCCUAGUACAAAUCCAGGUGUCGCUU